GGCGGCGCCUGCGCAGUGGGGCUACAUCCGGGCACUGGGGCAGGAUGAAUGCUCCUUUCCAAGAUGGCGGCGGAGGGAGGAGGGAAGGAGAUGAACGAGAUUAAGACCCAGUUCACCACCCGGGAGGGGGUGUACAAGUUGCUGAGCCACUCGGAGUACAGCCGGCCCAACCGCGUGCCCUUCAACUCGCAGGGCUCCAACCCGGUCCGCGUCUCCUUCGUCAACGUCAACGACCAGAGCGGCAACGGCGACCGGCUCUGCUUCAAUGUGGGCCGGGAGCUCUACUUCUACAUCUACAAGGGGGUCCGCAAGGCUGCUGACUUGAGUAAACCAAUAGACAAAAGGAUAUACAAAGGAACACAACCUACGUGUCAUGACUUCAAUCACUUAACAGCCACAGCAGAAAGUGUCUCUCUCCUAGUGGGCUUCUCUGCUGGCCAGGUCCAACUUAUAGACCCUAUUAAAAAAGAAACUAGCAAAUUAUUUAAUGAGGAAAGACUAAUAGACAAAUCCCGAGUAACCUGUGUAAAAUGGGUACCAGGUUCGGAAAGCCUUUUCCUAGUAGCUCAUUCCAGUGGCAGUAUGUACUUGUAUAACGUGGAACACACUUGUGGCACCACAGCCCCACACUACCAGCUACUCAAACAAGGAGAAAACUUUGCAGUCCACACUUGCAAGAGUAAAUCCACAAGAAACCCUCUGCUUAAAUGGACAGUAGGUGAGGGGGCCCUGAAUGAAUUUGCCUUUUCCCCAGAUGGGAAAUUCUUGGCAUGUGUGAGCCAGGAUGGCUUUCUUCGUGUGUUUAACUUUGAUUCAGUGGAGUUACAUGGUACAAUGAAAAGCUACUUUGGAGGACUACUAUGUGUAUGUUGGAGCCCUGAUGGGAAAUAUAUUGUAACAGGUGGAGAGGAUGACUUAGUAACAGUUUGGUCUUUUGUGGACUGUCGAGUAAUAGCUAGAGGCCAUGGACAUAAAUCAUGGGUCAGUGUUGUGGCUUUUGACCCAUAUACCACUAGCGUAGAAGAGAGUGACCCGAUGGAAUUUAGUGGAAGUGAUGAGGAUUUCCAAGACCUCCUUCAUUUUGGCAGAGAUCGAGCAAAUAGUACGCAAUCUAGGUUGUCAAAAAGGAACUCUACAGACAGUCGUCCAGUAAGUGUUACGUACAGGUUUGGCUCAGUAGGUCAGGACACGCAGAUCUGUUUGUGGGACCUUACAGAAGAUAUUCUCUUUCCCCACCAACCUCUCUCGAGAGCAAGGACACACACAAAUGUUAUGAAUGCCACAAGUCCACCUGCAGGAAGUGGUGGAACUAAUCCAGGAAGUAAUGGCAACAGUAUCACAACACCUGGAAACUCUGUACCUCCUCCUCUUCCUCGGUCAAACAGCCUUCCGCAUUCUGCAGUCUCAAAUGCUGGCAGUAAAAGCAGUGUCAUGGAUGGUGCCAUUGCUUCUGGUGUUAGUAAAUUUGCGACCCUAUCACUACACGAUCGGAAGGAAAGACACCAUGAAAAAGAUCACAAGAGAAAUCAUAGCAUGGGACAUAUAUCUAGCAAGAGCAGUGACAAACUGAACCUAGUUACUAAAACCAAAACGGACCCAGCUAAAACUUUGGGAACACCUCUCUGUCCCAGAAUGGAAGAUGUUCCCUUGUUAGAGCCUCUUAUCUGUAAAAAGAUAGCACAUGAAAGACUGACUGUGUUAAUUUUUCUUGAAGACUGUAUAGUCACUGCUUGUCAGGAGGGAUUUAUUUGCACAUGGGCAAGGCCUGGUAAAGGGAGAUAGAGUAUGCAGUACCAAAAAUCAGGAUUUAUGUAUUUGGCCAAUAUGGAAAACUUUAAUUACAGGGUUUAUUGUCAUCCCAAAACCAGGCCAAUUCUCCAAGUGGAACUGUAGUAUAGCCAUCACACUACUGCUAGCAAAUCUUUGAACACAGGACAAGAAGUAAUGACAGUGGAACCAGCAGCUGUUCUUCAGGCAGAAAGCAUCACAAAAUUAUAAAAUGGCAGAGUGUAAACUCGGAAUUAUGUGAAUCACAUAGUACUUUGCAAAGGAAUAAUGUAAUGAGACCUUAUUACAGCUAAUAUGUCUAGGCUGCUCACCCAAAGAAGAGUUUUCCUUUUAAAAAAUGCUUCUUUUGGUGUUGCAGUAAAAAAUAGUAACUUUUCAGUUCUCUUUAUACUUUUCAAGUUUGGUGUAAUUUAAUAUCUCUUUCUCACUCAUAUAUACAUAUAUAUAUAUAUAUAUAUAUAUAUGAGUGAGAGAGAAUGUAAAAUAAAGUGUUUCUUAAAUCCAAAUAAGUUCAAUGGUUAAAUUAGUACUUCACCAUUGUUUAUUUUGCACUGAUUUUUUUUUUUUUAACCAGAGAUGGUUAGAAGACAGCCUGGAAUGCACUCAUGGAAAAUGAAAGUCAUUACUUUCUGGCUUAAAAAUGUAAUUCAGGAAGAUGGAUGCUGCAAUCAUAGAUUUUUUUUUUUUUUUAAACAAAAUUGUUUUGCACUUAAAUAGUCUAAUGCUAAUGGAGAAUUACUUUAAAAUGGUUGUUCAAACACCAGAAAAACUAUGUUGUGGAGAAAAGAUCCUUUGUAUCUAUUAAACAUUUAUUUUAAUAUUGUUGUUUCCAAUUGCAAUCAACUCUGUAUUAUAUGUAUAAAUGUAAUUCAGUGAUUUGGGGAAAUGGAUCAUUACACUAGUAAUUUUCAUCAUCAUUUAAGAAAGUGAUAUUUCUAAUUCAGAAAAUACAUAUUAUUAAACUAUCUUGAAUAUGCAACUUUGUUUAUUUUUUGUUUUAAAUUGGAUCUCUCUUGAUGUAAUCAGUCCUUUGUUGAAUUAAAUGUUUGGUACAGAAAUAUAUCCUAA
Molecule: RNA transcript, 2856 nt
Organism: Alligator sinensis (Chinese alligator)
Lineage: Eukaryota; Metazoa; Chordata; Crocodylia; Alligatoridae
Gene: WDR20
Gene name: WD repeat domain 20
Exons: 5
Source: RefSeq, a predicted model, not a curated record